GUGGUCAUAAACCUUGUGUUUAAAUUUCAUAAUUUCUAUUUACUUAUACUAAAGUUAUUGUACAACCAGAUGCUCGCAGGGCGCAGCUUUAUACGACCGCAGAGGUUGAACCCUGAACGGUUGGGGCAAGUAUGGACACAACAUUCAAGCUGGAUUCAGCUCUAAAUUUGGAUUGUGAUUAAAUAGUUGACACAGCAUAGGUUUCAGACACAGAAUGAAUGUGGUCUAAUGAACUUAAAAUAUUCUUUUUGCCUUUGAGCAAUUCACUAUGCUGUUGAAUAUUAAUCCUCUCAAAAAAAUGUUUGAAGAAAUUUUCUUUUUAUUUAUGAAAUCUGAAAUGAGAAAAAUUGAACCCCCCCCCCCCCCCAUUUUUUU
Molecule: long non-coding RNA, 375 nt
Filed under: Mytilus galloprovincialis (Mediterranean mussel)
Lineage: Eukaryota; Metazoa; Mollusca; Bivalvia; Mytilida; Mytilidae
Source: RNAcentral